Molecule: unclassified non-coding RNA, 306 nt
Filed under: plant metagenome
Description: partial contains 5.8S ribosomal RNA, internal transcribed spacer 2, and large subunit ribosomal RNA
Rfam family: 5.8S ribosomal RNA (bases 1-105)
Source: RNAcentral
GAAAUGCGAUAAGUAAUGUGAAUUGCAGAAUUCAGUGAAUCAUCGAAUCUUUGAACGCACAUUGCGCCCGCCAGUAUUCUGGCGGGCAUGCCUGUCCGAGCGUCAUUUCAACCAUCAAGCCCCCGGGCUUGUGUUGGGGGCCUGCGGCUGCCCGCAGGCCCUGAAAACCAGUGGCGGGCUCGCUGUCACCCCGCGCGUAGUAGCAAUCACCUCGCUCAGGGCGUGCUGCGGGUUCCGGCCGUUAAACAGCCUUACAAAACCCAAGGUUGACCUCGGAUCAGGUAGGAAGACCCGCUGAACUUAAGC